UUGCAGGAGCUCUUUAUAUGCAGAUGGCUACUGGAUAACGAAGAACAAAAGGCCUUAAUCUUUCUAUGUCAUGGAUAGGGGGUGGAAUGCAGCAUAUAUAUAUACGAGAGAGACGGGAACUUGGUUAGCAAAAGUGGGCCAUGCAGUUUAUGGAUUGCAAGAGUCAUGGGAAAUCUUCUAGAAUGCUAGGAUAUGUACCAAGCUUUAAUACCCUCAU
This 217-nucleotide long non-coding RNA is filed under the name Elaeis guineensis (African oil palm). RNAcentral's name for it is "long non-coding RNA (EGUI_LNC034622)". Lineage: Eukaryota; Viridiplantae; Streptophyta; Magnoliopsida; Arecales; Arecaceae. The record is from RNAcentral.